AUACGGAAGGUGCAAGCGUUAAUCGGAAUCACUGGGCGUAAAGCGCUCGUAGGUGGCUUUGUAAGUCAGGUGUGAAAGCCCACGGCUCAACCGUGGAAUUGCACUUGAUACUGCAUUGAAACUUGAGUUCGGGAGAGGGUAGUGGAAUUCCAGGUGUAGGAGUGAAAUCCGUAGAGAUCUGGAGGAACACCAGUGGCGAAGGCGACUACCUGGACCGAUACUGACACUGAGGAGCGAAAGCGUGGGGAGC
Molecule: ribosomal RNA, 250 nt
Filed under: uncultured bacterium
Lineage: Bacteria
Description: partial 16S ribosomal RNA
Rfam family: Bacterial small subunit ribosomal RNA
Source: RNAcentral